This is a long non-coding RNA of Juglans microcarpa x Juglans regia, 405 nucleotides long. RefSeq lists it as uncharacterized. The record is from RefSeq and is a predicted model, not a curated record. NCBI's taxonomy places the organism in Eukaryota, Viridiplantae, Streptophyta, Magnoliopsida, Fagales, Juglandaceae. The transcript is spliced from 3 exons.
UAAGAUCAACUAGAGAUCUUCCGCCAGCUCAUUACACAUUUCAAAUAAAGAGUUUCUCGUUUCUGUUUAAGAACGAGGUUAAAAUAUGUGAAUUGGGCCAAUUUGAAGUUGGCGGCUAUCAAUGGAGAUUAGUAGUACAACUCCACACAGAUGGCCGGAAGAAGAAUAUAUAUUGCAAUCAUGGAAACGAUAGCAUCUCUUUGUAUUUGGCAAUAGCAAAUCAAAAUAAUCUUUUGCCUGGUUGGGAGGUUAACGUAAACUUCAAGUUCUUUGUGUUUGAUCAAAUACGCAACAACUACCAGUGUGUGCAAGAUGGGAUUGUAAGACGCUUCCAUAACUUAAAAACUGAAUGGGGAUUCGCCUAAUUACUUCCACUCGAUUUUCUCGGCGAUCCUUCGAAUGGUU